Molecule: long non-coding RNA, 501 nt
Organism: Hordeum vulgare subsp. vulgare (domesticated barley)
Lineage: Eukaryota; Viridiplantae; Streptophyta; Magnoliopsida; Poales; Poaceae
Exons: 2
Source: RefSeq, a predicted model, not a curated record
UCUUUAUUGAAACUUGUUAAACUGUGUUCCUCUCUCAUCAAAUCUUCUCGUUGUUCUUUAUAAACCCACGCUUGCAAGCUAUACCAGUCUACCAGACAUAUACACCGGUGUUUACCCUACACCUCAAAGAAACAAACACCUAUUAAUCUAGUUUUCCUCAUGCCUUGCAAAAUCGCUGCCAACUUCAUGUUCGUCUUGUUGUUGGUAAGCGCCGUGUCCUCGGAUAUGGGGGACGAAAAACGAUGCUGCGAGUCAUACCCCGCGCCCAAGGAUCUGAGCUGCCGUGACCUUCGAGCUUGCGACAAACAAUGCAAAGAUGCUGGCUACAACGGCAGCUUCUGCCCGGUUGACUACCCGACCUGCUAUUGCCUCAGAUGCACCGGCAAUCAAACGAGCGCUGCAGGUCGCGUUUUGUCGCCCCAUAAAGAGCGAAAUUAGCCAACUCAUGUAAUGUUGACUCGUCGCAGCAGCUGCGCACAUAAGUAACUGCUUUGCCUAAUA